RNAcentral lists this long non-coding RNA (360 nucleotides) under Homo sapiens (human). Its description in RNAcentral is "HSALNT0184574". The record is from RNAcentral. Lineage: Eukaryota; Metazoa; Chordata; Mammalia; Primates; Hominidae.
UGCAUUCAUCUGGAAAGACAGGACUAAAGUCAGCCUGAUUUUAGUGAGUCAAGAGGGGAGGAAGCACACAAGGAAGCUUGUCUUCUUACUGCCUCAGUAAUGAAGCAGCAAAUAUGUCUUUUCUGGACCUGAAGGGGAGGCCUGCAGGGUCACAUCUGGCUGAUGCAGCAACCACAACAACCUCACAAAGACAAGACCCAGAACCGGGAGCAACAGCAACAAAUCAGAGCCGGCCUCUUCUACCCUAGGUUCCAAAGACACUACAUUCUCCUGGCCUUCGAUGGGCAGCUCUGAGCUCCAGCUCAGUUUGGCCAUUACCUGCAGCAUCCCUUGGAUCCCUGCCAGGGCCCUUAUCACUUG